AUGGUUUGUGGAGCACCAUUCGUCGGCGAGUCGCGGGUGAGGAGAGCCGACGGCGGGGCAGAUGCCACUGGUGGUCACAGCGAGGCAGAGAGGCCGACGGCGCUCCGCUGUUUCUGUGGAUCAGGAUUCAGUAGCAGAUGGGGACCGCUGAUAAUAGGGAGGAUAUACGCAGGGCAACCGUCAGUGGUGGAGAAGCAGCAGCGAACGACGUCGUCUCGACUCGGGAUCGGCAGCGCCCGCGCGCCGUGCCGACGCCUGCAAUGA
RNAcentral lists this long non-coding RNA (264 nucleotides) under Oryza sativa aus subgroup. RNAcentral's name for it is "lncRNA OsN22_UnG000600". Lineage: Eukaryota; Viridiplantae; Streptophyta; Magnoliopsida; Poales; Poaceae. The record is from RNAcentral.